GUUCCAGCAGCCGCGGUAAGACGGAGGGGGCUAGCGUUGUUCGGAAUGACUGGGCGUAAAGCGCGCGUAGGCGGUUCGGUAAGUUGGAUGUGAAAGCCCGGGGCUUAACCCCGGAUGUGCGUUCAAGACUGCCGAACUCGAGACCGGAAGGGGAGAGCGGAAUUCCCAGUGUAGAGGUGAAAUUCGUAGAUAUUGGGAAGAACACCGGUGGCGAAGGCGGCUCUCUGGUCCGGUUCUGACGCUGAGGCGCGAAAGCGUGGGGAGCAAACAGGAUUAGAUACCCGUGUAGUCC
Molecule: ribosomal RNA, 292 nt
Filed under: uncultured bacterium
Lineage: Bacteria
Description: partial 16S ribosomal RNA
Rfam family: Bacterial small subunit ribosomal RNA
Source: RNAcentral